CCACUCCUUUGCUGCCCGGGCGGUGUGUUUGGGAUCAUUGUCAUGCUGAAAGACCCAGCCACGUUUCAUCUUCAAUGUUCUCACUGAUGGAUGGUU
Salarias fasciatus (jewelled blenny) is the source of this 96-nucleotide long non-coding RNA. RefSeq lists it as uncharacterized. The record is from RefSeq and is a predicted model, not a curated record. NCBI's taxonomy places the organism in Eukaryota, Metazoa, Chordata, Actinopteri, Blenniiformes, Blenniidae. The transcript has 3 exons.